GGUGACGUUUCAGGCUGCCCUGAAGAGGGGUCCCGACUCAGAAUGUUACCUAUCUAUGAUCUCCUGAGAUGCUGCCUGACCUGCUGAGUU
Amblyraja radiata (thorny skate) is the source of this 90-nucleotide long non-coding RNA. RefSeq lists it as uncharacterized. The record is from RefSeq and is a predicted model, not a curated record. The transcript has 3 exons. Lineage: Eukaryota; Metazoa; Chordata; Chondrichthyes; Rajiformes; Rajidae.